Molecule: ribosomal RNA, 481 nt
Filed under: uncultured bacterium
Lineage: Bacteria
Description: bacterial SSU rRNA
Rfam family: Bacterial small subunit ribosomal RNA
Source: RNAcentral
AAAGGAAUAGACGGGGACCCGCACAAGCGGAGGAGCGCGUGGUUUAAUUCGACGGCAAUCGAAAAACCUUACCAGGGUUUGACAUGUAUCUGCAUAUCUUUGGAAACAUUGAUAGCCUUAGAGGGUGAUACACAGGUACUGCAUGGCCGUCGUCAGCUCGUGUCGUGAGAUGUAGGGUUAAGUCCCGAAACGAGCGUAACCCCCAUUCCAUGUUACAAGUGUCUUGGAAAACCGCCUCGGUAAAACGAGGAGGAAGGUGGGGAUGACGUCUGGUCCGCAUAGUCCUUAUGUCCUGGGCUACACACGCGCUACAAUGGUCGGUACAAUGGGCAGCCAAAUCGUAAGAUGGAGCAAAUCCUCAAAACCGAUCUCAGUUCGAAUUGUGGGCUGAAAUUCGCCCACAUGAAGUUGGAUUCGCUAGUAAUCGUGGAUCAGCCAUGCCGCGGUGAAUACGUUCUCGGGUCUUGCACACACCGCCCGU